UACGGAGGAUGCAAGCGUUCUCCGGAAUUAUCGGGCGUAAAGCGUCCGUAGGUGGUGAUUCAAGUCAGCGGUUAAAGCGUGGGGCUUAACCUCAUACAGGCCGUUGAAACUGGAUUGCUAGAGAGCGGUAGGGGUCGAGGGAACUCCCAGUGUAGCGGUCAAAUGCGUAGAUAUUGGGAAGAACACCGGUGGCGAAAGCGCUCGGCUGGGCCGGCACUGACGCUGGGUGACGAAAGCUAGGGGAGCGAAAGGG
Molecule: ribosomal RNA, 253 nt
Filed under: uncultured bacterium
Lineage: Bacteria
Description: partial 16S ribosomal RNA
Rfam family: Bacterial small subunit ribosomal RNA
Source: RNAcentral